Molecule: non-coding RNA, 90 nt
Filed under: Clostridium polynesiense
Lineage: Bacteria; Bacillati; Bacillota; Clostridia; Eubacteriales; Clostridiaceae
Description: Purine riboswitch
Rfam family: Purine riboswitch aptamer
About the family: Riboswitches are metabolite binding domains within certain messenger RNAs that serve as precision sensors for their corresponding targets. Allosteric rearrangement of mRNA structure is mediated by ligand binding, and this results in modulation of gene expression. A class of riboswitches that selectively recognises guanine and becomes saturated at concentrations as low as 5 nM.
Source: RNAcentral
UAACUUAUAUAAGUAUUUCGUAUAACCCCAACGAUAUGGGUUGGGGGUCUCUACCAGGAACCGUUAAUUCCUGAUUACGAAGAAGAUACC